GUGAAUCAUCGAAUUUUUGAACGCACAUUGCGCUUUCUGGUAUUCCGGGGAGUAUGCCUGUUUGAGGGUCAGUAUUAAUCAAAAAUCGGUUUAGUUACAAAUUGUGAUGUCUCCGGAGUUUGGGCUAUCUUAACACUUUUUGUUAAGCGGCUUAAAUUUGACCUUUUUUGCGCAUUUUAAGACGUACAUUAUUUUUUUAUAUUCGUCUAUUCUUUAUGCC
Molecule: unclassified non-coding RNA, 220 nt
Filed under: Glomeraceae sp.
Lineage: Eukaryota; Fungi; Glomeromycota; Glomeromycetes; Glomerales; Glomeraceae
Description: partial contains 5.8S ribosomal RNA and internal transcribed spacer 2
Rfam family: 5.8S ribosomal RNA (bases 1-71)
Source: RNAcentral